This is a long non-coding RNA of Vidua chalybeata, 213 nucleotides long. RefSeq lists it as uncharacterized. Lineage: Eukaryota; Metazoa; Chordata; Aves; Passeriformes; Viduidae. The transcript is spliced from 2 exons. The record is from RefSeq and is a predicted model, not a curated record.
AGGUCAGUCACCGUUUGUCUUUGCAGGGGGAGUAUAAAUGGUGCCUCUGUAUUACAGCUAUUUUCUUUGUUGUUAUUUUUAGGAACUAAAGCCAGAUACUAGCGGUCAAGGCGGUCCGCUUCUGUUACAACGAGACCACAUCCGCAAGUGGCCAAUGGACCCCGGUUUUCACUUCUGUGGGAAUUGAUAUUGUGAAUUAAAUUUUUGUUGGAA